Molecule: ribosomal RNA, 944 nt
Filed under: uncultured organism
Description: bacterial SSU rRNA
Rfam family: Bacterial small subunit ribosomal RNA
Source: RNAcentral
AUGCGGUAUGACGGUACCCUUUCGAAUAAGAGGUUGCUAACUCUGUGCCAGCAGCAGCGGUAAUACAGAGACCUCGAGCGUUAUCCGGAUUUACUGGGCGUAAAGCGUCUGUAGGGGGUUUGUUAAGUUCCAAGUAAAAUCUUAAGGCUCAACUUUAAGUUCGCUUGGAAAACUAAUAAACUGGAGUCCAGCAGAGGUGCAUGGAACUUGCGGUGUAGGAGUGAAAUCCGUUGAUAUCGCAAGGAACACCAAAGGCGAAGGCAUUGCACUGGGCUGGUACUGACCCUGAGAGACGAAAGCGUGGGGAGCAAAACGGAUUAGAUACCCGUGUAGUCCACGCCGUAAACGAUGGAUACUAGAUGUUCGGGGAUUCGACCCCCUGGGUGUCACAGCUAACGCGUUAAGUAUCCCGCCUGGGAAGUACGGCCGCAAGGCUAAAACUCAAAGGAAUAGACGGGGAUCCGCACAAGCGGUGGAGCGUCUGGUUUAAUUUGAUAGUAAGCAAUGGACCUCACCAAGGUUUGACAUCCUAUGACAACCCUGGAAACAGGGCUUCCUUCGGGCAUAGUGACAGGUGCUGCAUGGUCGUCGUCAGUUCGUGCCGUGAGGUGUUCCGUUAAGUCGGGAAACGAACGAAACCCUCGUCGCAUGUUACAAAUUUCAUGCGAGACUGCCCGGGUCAACCGGGAGGAAGGCGGGGAUGACGUCAGAUCAGCAUGGCCCUUAUACCUUGGGCUACACAGGCGCUACAAUGGCCGGUACAAAGGGUUGCAAAACCGCGAGGUGAAGCUAAUCCCAUAAAGCCGGUCCAAGUUCGGAUUGGAGGCUGCAACUCGCCUCCAUGAAGUUGGAUCGCUAGUCUCUGCAUCAGCCAUACCACGGUGAUACGUUCCCGGAUCUGUACUACCGCCCGUCACACCAAGAGAGUUGGUAGCUCCUGAAGC